GCUUUAGCCUUAGGUGGGGGAGUUUUCCAUUUCCCUUUCAGCUUAUAUUAAAUUACUUUCCUUUCUUGUCAUAGGCAUAAUCCUUUGAUGGGAAAACCUUGACGGCCUUUCAGAAGAGGAAGAAAGCCCUCCUCUGCAGAGUCACCAGGGACUGGCUAUUACUAAUUGAUUCUACAUGGAGAACACACAGUGGUGACAGCCAUCAGUCUGAAACAGGCCCAUUUAUUAUUAGUUUUCACUAA
Molecule: long non-coding RNA, 242 nt
Filed under: Cyanistes caeruleus (blue tit)
Lineage: Eukaryota; Metazoa; Chordata; Aves; Passeriformes; Paridae
Description: lncRNA (ENSCCEG00000011149.1)
Source: RNAcentral